CAGCAGCCACGGGAAUACGUAGGUGGCAAGCGUUGUCCGGAAUUAUUGGGCGUAAAGGGCUCGCAGGCGGUUUCUUAAGUCUGAUGUGAAAGCCCCCGGCUCAACCGGGGAGGGUCAUUGGAAACUGGGAAACUUGAGUGCAGAAGAGGAGAGUGGAAUUCCACGUGUAGCGGCGAAAUGCGUAGAGAUGUGGAGGAACACCAGUGGCGAAGGCGACUCUCUGGUCUGUAACUGACGCUGAGGAGCGAAAGCGUGGGGAGCGAACAGGAUUAGAUACCCCGGUAGUCCCUGUCUCUUAUAC
RNAcentral lists this ribosomal RNA (301 nucleotides) under uncultured bacterium. Its description in RNAcentral is "partial 16S ribosomal RNA". It matches the Rfam family "Bacterial small subunit ribosomal RNA", at positions 509 to 807 of the family's 1533-position model. The record is from RNAcentral.